AUUGAACGCUGGCGGCAGGCCUAACACAUGCAAGUCGAACGGUAACAGGAAGCAGCUUGCUGCUUCGCUGACGAGUGGCGGACGGGUGAGUAAUGUCUGGGAAGCUGCCUGAUGGAGGGGGAUAACUACUGGAAACGGUAGCUAAUACCGCAUAAUGUCGCAAGACCAAAGAGGGGGACCUUCGGGCCUCUUGCCAUCGGAUGUGCCCCGAUGGGAUUAGCUUGUUGGUGGGGUAACGGCUCACCAAGGCGACGAUCCCUAGCUGGUCUGAGAGGAUGACCAGCCACACUGGAACUGAGACACGGUCCAGACUCCUACGGGAGGCAGCAGUGGGGAAUAUUGCACAAAGGGCGCAAGCCUGAUGCAGCCAUGCCGCGUGUAUGAAGAAGGCCUUCGGGUUGUAAAGUACUUUCAGCGGGGAGGAAGGGAGUAAAGUUAAUACCUUUGCUCAUUGACGUUACCCGCAGAAGAAGCACCGGCUAACUCCGUG
This 490-nucleotide ribosomal RNA is filed under the name uncultured bacterium. RNAcentral describes it as "partial 16S ribosomal RNA". It matches the Rfam family "Bacterial small subunit ribosomal RNA", at positions 30 to 507 of the family's 1533-position model. The record is from RNAcentral.